This is a non-coding RNA of Solanum lycopersicum (tomato), 597 nucleotides long. The record is from RefSeq and is a predicted model, not a curated record. NCBI's taxonomy places the organism in Eukaryota, Viridiplantae, Streptophyta, Magnoliopsida, Solanales, Solanaceae.
UUUCUUUGUGGACGCAUGUUUUUCUUCUUUGUUUUCCUUACUGUUGCAGUAAGUUGCCAACGUAAUUGAGCUAUGCUUGUUUGAGAGGGUUUUUAGUUAUACCGUUAAUACUUAAAACGGUGCAGAAUUUUUCUGUGAUUGGUAUAAACCUUGUUUGGUUCAUUUUGUGGCUUCAUGAAUGGACUAUUCUUUUGUUGUCCAUUCUCUGAGUUCAAUAAAAUUGGCUGAAAAGAACGUUUUUUCUUUUCAAAACACAUCAGCUCUGUCAUGGAGCGACAUGAAAAGGGGCUUCAAAAUUGCUAAUAGAUACUGUCUCUGGUAUCCUUAGUCUCUGGAUGUCAGAAAUUAUCUAGUUCUGUCACUGUGGAGCUUGAAACAACAUUUUGAGCUUCUGCUACUCAGUUUUGUCGCCUUCAGCUAAUGCAGUUACAUCAUGGGUGGAAUCAGCUCUUACAAUGUCGGCAUCAGUUAGUUUUCUUGGACUCAGACUCGGACUUGUUCUCCGCACAGCUAGUCGUUUAUUUAUUAGACAGCUCAGUUUGUCCAAUGAAUAAAUGUAUCCUGUUAAAAUUACUAGAUGUGACAGAGAAUUUCACA